This 480-nucleotide ribosomal RNA is filed under the name uncultured bacterium. RNAcentral's name for it is "partial 16S ribosomal RNA". It matches the Rfam family "Bacterial small subunit ribosomal RNA", at positions 28 to 523 of the family's 1533-position model. The record is from RNAcentral.
GACGAACGCUGGCGGCGUGCUUAACACAUGCAAGUCGAGCGGUAAGGCCCUUUCGGGGGUACACGAGCGGCGAACGGGUGAGUAACACGUGGGUGACCUGCCCUCCACUCUGGGAUAAGCCCGGGAAACUGGGUCUAAUACCGGAUAGGACCAUUGGAUGCAUGUCUGGUGGUGGAAAGUUUUUUCGGUGGGGGAUGGGCCCGCGGCCUAUCAGCUUGUUGGUGGGGUGAUGGCCUACCAAGGCGGUGACGGGUAGCCGGCCUGAGAGGGCGACCGGCCACACUGGGACUGAGACACGGCCCAGACUCCUACGGGAGGCAGCAGUGGGGAAUAUUGCGCAAUGGGCGGAAGCCUGACGCAGCGACGCCGCGUGGGGGAUGACGGCCUUCGGGUUGUAAACCUCUUUCGCCAGGGACGAAGCUAACGUGACGGUACCUGGAGAAGGAGCACCGGCCAACUACGUGCCAGCCGCCGCAGUAA